RNAcentral lists this non-coding RNA (45 nucleotides) under Alexandrium minutum. The record is from RNAcentral. Lineage: Eukaryota; Dinophyceae; Gonyaulacales; Pyrocystaceae.
UUUUUUUUUUUUUUUUUUUUUUUUUUUUUUUUUUUCCUUGUUCAU